This is a long non-coding RNA of Sarcophilus harrisii (Tasmanian devil), 2096 nucleotides long. The record is from Ensembl. Lineage: Eukaryota; Metazoa; Chordata; Mammalia; Dasyuromorphia; Dasyuridae.
AGCAAGAAGAACAAACAUUCAAAACUGUGUGUGAAUCAUUUUUCUCUUGAGAGUGAUGUUAAUGAAAAUGUAUUUCUUCUGUUGUAAGGUUUUGUAGUACACAUUUUUACUAAUUCUUAUCUAGGAAAGCUUUCUAUUUUUAACCUGUGGUAAACUGAAUUCUUCUUUGUCAUCUUGUUAUCAUCAACUCUAAUGAGCAGCAUAAUCAGUUUGUGGUAUUGGGAUCCAUAUCUCAUGUCUCAUUGAGCUCAGAACAUACAAAAAGUAUGUAAGCACAAUUCUCAGAACCCAUCUUGUGUAGACCUACUAUUUUAGCAGGUCUUUACUCAACCUCUGUUUUUGUUUUUCUCAUCAAUUAAGUGAAGUGACAAACUUUAAAAAAAAAAGUGUAUUAUAUUGCUUGUUUUUUUUUUAAACCACGACUAAAUCUGUCUUUGUUGUGCUUCAAUGCAUUCCAAGGAUUGGAAAAAGUUCCUUCUCAAAGAGGCAAUGGAAUGACUAAAAUUGCCCCUCUAUUUUAAGUUCAUUCACAUCCACUGACAUGUUUUAAGUGCAAAGAUAAUUUGUUAUCCUUUAAAUGUGUGUUACCCUUUAAAACACACAUGUAUAAAGAUAGAGAGAGAAAAUAAGAUUUUAUUGCAUAUUUAAUAAAAUCGGGUGCCUUGUUGCUUACUCCCUUUUGUCCACAUGGCCUUUGAAAGAAAACAAGCAAGUUUCUGUUGCCAAUUCUUCAGGAAAGCUCAUAUCAUAUAUGAUUUGUAUUUUUAGGAAUUGGGAAGCUGUUAAGAAAAGAGAGCUAUCUUUGCCAUUCAACCAUAUUAGAAUGAAUCAAUAAUUGCAUUUCACUUUCAGAAGAUUCAAACUCAUAAAAAAGAGCAUUUAAAAACUUCCAUUUUUUUUUCUUGAGAGUUCCUUGGGGAAUCAAAAUAUCUAUAGUUCUUUAUAACACAAAGGUUAAAUUUAGAUUUGGGGAUUUUUAGUAUCUCCCAGACAAAAGAAUUAUGAAGCACAGGCAUUUGGCAGAAUUAACAGCAGGAGAAGAAAAUUAUUUUGUUAGCUCAUUGCUUAUUCAACUGUUUGCCUCUAAGAAUCUAAAACCUGUAGAAAUAGAUAGACGUAUAAAUGUUGCUACAUUAUGACUGUCCUGAGUCACAUGAAGUAUUGAAACAAAAAACUUUAGUUAAGUAUUGUCUUAGUAGUAAAAUGUAUUAAUUAGGUUUAAAAUGCUAAACGAAAGUAGUUCUUUGAAGUACUCUAUGCCCUUCAGGGCUCUUUGUAAGCAACUGCCAACUACAGGUGACCUAAAAAGCUAAGACUUUAGAUAAGCUGUAGCAAUUAUUCCAAGAUGCUUUCUACAGGAACUCCACGCCACAAGUCAGAAAGAAGCCUCAGGACCAUCUGCUCUCCCUCAAACUCUGUGAUUCACUUCAAUAUAUUUGUGGGGAUUUCACAUGUUUUUUUUGUGUCUGAUAUACAAUAUACAGUUUGCAUACUAGACUUAAGUUGUAAUCCAUUUGCUGUUGAGAAUGAAUUGUUUUGGAAGAUGAAAGGGUAUUGCAUGACAAUCAUUUGCUUGGGUUUUGCACUGGAUGGGUUUCUGGACCAUCAGAAAAUAGCACUGAAUGUACUGUUGACAUAAUGUAGAAAUUAUAAGCUGUUGGUUUUUGCCAUGUGAUAUUAAAAAAUUAGUAAAAAGGAACUGGGCAGUUUGGCUUAUAUUUGCUUAAAAUUAUGAUUGUUAUGUUGCUUUUUUUUUCUUCCAAAAACUGUAUUUGCUUAAAAGGUAUAUAGUUAAGAAGGAAACAAUGUUUAUUGAAUGGAGGGACUUACAGAAUGAUGUCACAUGUGGACAUAAUUUGACCUUUGUCAUGCAGAUUGUUAACACCAGCUAUUAAAAUAUAUUUUAGUAGAAAUGUUUUAAUUCACGUUCUUUUCCCUUGACACUGUGAAUCUUAAAACCCUGAUGGACUACAACAUCGUCAUGCUAACCCAAAUACUAACCUAUGCAAACUAGAUCACGUUUCAUUUGAUGUCACAGUGAAUGUAAUAUGGUAUUUUUUUCCCUGCCUAAUAUGCAAUGGCAUUAAAAACAAAUG